CCUACGGGUGGCUGCAGUGAGGAAUAUUGGUCAAUGGACGAGAGUCUGAACCAGCCAAGUAGCGUGAAGGAUGACUGCCCUAUGGGUUGUAAACUUCUUUUAUAGGGGAAUAAAACAGGGUAUGCAUACCCUCUUGUAUGUACCAUAUGAAUAAGGAUCGGCUAACGCCGUGCCAGCAGCCGCGGUAAUACGGAGGAUCCGAGCGUUCUCCGGAUUUAGUGGGUGUAAAGGGAGCGUAGGGGGCUUGUUAAGUCAGUUGUGAAAGUUUUCGGCUCAACCGUAAAAUUGCAGUUGAAACUGGCAGUCUUUCGUACAGUCGAGCUCGGCGGAAUUCGUGUUGUAGCGG
RNAcentral lists this ribosomal RNA (346 nucleotides) under uncultured bacterium. RNAcentral's name for it is "partial 16S ribosomal RNA". It matches the Rfam family "Bacterial small subunit ribosomal RNA", at positions 338 to 681 of the family's 1533-position model. The record is from RNAcentral.